CCCUCUGUUUUGUUCCCCUCCUGUGUGUGUUUGUGCGUCUGUCUGGGCGUGGUCCUCCGGUGCGGCUCUGCUGAGGUUUCUACACACCUGUUCCUCAUCUGCUGCUGCAUGUCUCCAGCUCACCUGUUUUCCAUCCACCAAUCAAGGCCCUGCAGUAUAUACACCUGGCUCUUCACUCCACUCUUUGCCAGAUUGUCUGUGUACCGCUGUGGUACAGCAUCUUGGCUGCUGAGUGGCGAUACUAGAGGUUCACUGCUCAAUUCCCUGGUCCCUGAUUACCUCACCUGCUCUGCAAACUAUUCUCUACCCCUGGACCUGUUCUAGCCAGCUGUCUCUCUUUGGCCUACCUACUCCGCUGGACUUAGAACCAGUCUCCGGACCAUUCCUGCUUCCUGGUUCCCUGACUUGGCCUAGCUCACUUAGUUAAUCUCUCCUGGUUGUAAAAUGAACUGAAGUCUUUUUUUUCACUACAUUACCAUCUGUUGAGUUUUGCUUUUGGGUCCAGAUUCCUCUGCUCCUCAUAACACAUACUUUUGAAUAUUAUCCCCAUAUUCUACAAAGAGAGCCCCCUAAAUGUUACACACUGAACUUUUAACUCACCAGAAAAGCACCACUUUUAUCAUCACAUUUACUCCCCAGAUUGACACAUCUUAGCUAUGGUGCCCUUAAGACUUAGUUUCUCUUUUAGUUUUAAGUUGGAUAUUCGACAGAUAUUCACUCAAGAUUUGAGAGGGACCUGGAUGGAGACACAAUGGCAGACCUCUUUGUGUCGUUUUUUUUUUUUUUUUUUUUAGCGUGAACAUCUGCAUUGUGCAUGUGCGUAGUCCACUUGUGGCAGAAAAUGGAAAAGACAAAAUACAACAACUUCAUUCACUGGUUUUUGGUGAAACUGGGUAAUAUUUUAUGGAGAAAAUAUUUUCCGGUUUUCCCUCAGUUUCCUGAUGGACAAAUAGCCUACCAUCCCCAUAGCUCAGUUAGCCGUGCAGCUAGAAGUACAGUAAUCAGUGAGGUCUGGCCCCCAGAAACAUUCUGCUCCAGUGGCUAUCUUUUUUCCAACCUUCAUUCUUGUCUCAUUUGUGGUCUGAUAAAAAGUAAAUUCAAAGUUUACUUUCACCAAAAUCAGUGAAUAAAGUUGUAUUUUUGUACAGAAUGUGGCCCGGCUUGCCUUUUCUGCCACAGGUGGGUUAAAAAAAAUUAUAAUAAAUUGGUCUCAUGUAGCACACCUACUUUGAUUGCUAAUGUGUGAUUAAUUUAUUUUACAAACAUAUUUUUAUAGAAAAUAAUAGCAGUUUUUUUGAGGACUUGAGUGCUGCUUCUAUCUAUUUUAUAGAUGUAUAGAUCCGCAUUUUUUUUCAAUAACCUCCAUCUCAUUUGACCCAGGGACUCCAAACCAGUCCCGAAUAUAUUUGUACGCUGGAAAAACGAGACACACCUCUUUAUUGGAUUUUAGUGCUUCUUCUUUUAUAUAUUAAUAUUUUGUAUGGAAAAUUCAACAUUUUUUUCAAUAGUUUCUAUCUCAUGUGACCCAGGGACUCCAAACUAAUGCCGAAUUGUAUUACUGCGCUGGAAAAAUGAGACACAUUUCAUUUUAUUAAGUUUUAAUGUUUGUUCUAUUUUAUAUGAAUAUUUUUAUGGAAAAUAUUUUUUUUUUCAAUAGUUUCUAUCUCAUGUGACCCAGGGACUCCAAACUAAUGCCGAAUUGUAUUACUGCGCUGGAAAAAUGAGACACAUUUCAUUUGAUUAGAUUUUAGUGCUUGUUCUAUUUUAUAUGAAUAUUUUUAUGGAAAAUAUUUUUUUUUUCAAUUGCUUCCAUGUCAUGUGACCCAUUGACUCCAAAU
Long non-coding RNA from Siniperca chuatsi (mandarin fish), 1838 nucleotides. RefSeq lists it as uncharacterized. The record is from RefSeq and is a predicted model, not a curated record. Lineage: Eukaryota; Metazoa; Chordata; Actinopteri; Centrarchiformes; Sinipercidae. The transcript is spliced from 2 exons.